This 468-nucleotide ribosomal RNA is filed under the name uncultured bacterium. RNAcentral describes it as "partial 16S ribosomal RNA". It matches the Rfam family "Bacterial small subunit ribosomal RNA", at positions 28 to 507 of the family's 1533-position model. The record is from RNAcentral.
GACGAACGCUGGCGGCGUGCUUAACACAUGCAAGUCGAGCGGAAAGGCCCUGCUUUUGUGGGGUGCUCGAGUGGCGAACGGGUGAGUAACACGUGAGUAACCUGCCCUUGACUUUGGGAUAACUUCAGGAAACUGGGGCUAAUACCGGAUAGGAGCUCCUGCUGCAUGGUGGGGGUUGGAAAGUUUCGGCGGUUGGGGAUGGACUCGCGGCUUAUCAGCUUGUUGGUGGGGUAGUGGCUUACCAAGGCUUUGACGGGUAGCCGGCCUGAGAGGGUGACCGGCCACAUUGGGACUGAGAUACGGCCCAGACUCCUACGGGAGGCAGCAGUGGGGAAUAUUGCACAAUGGGCGGAAGCCUGAUGCAGCAACGCCGCGUGCGGGAUGACGGCCUUCGGGUUGUAAACCGCUUUCGCCUGUGACGAAGCGUGAGUGACGGUAAUGGGUAAAGAAGCACCGGCUAAUUACGUG